RNAcentral lists this ribosomal RNA (406 nucleotides) under uncultured bacterium. RNAcentral's name for it is "partial 16S ribosomal RNA". It matches the Rfam family "Bacterial small subunit ribosomal RNA", at positions 28 to 526 of the family's 1533-position model. The record is from RNAcentral.
GACGAACGCUGGCGGCGUGCCUAAUACAUGCAAGUAGAACGAGUUGCGAACGGGUGAGUAACGCGUGGUAACCUGCCCCAUAGCGGGGGAUAACUAUUGGAAACGAUAGCUAAUACCGCAUACUGUGAGAAGGACCGGCGUUGUAUUAGCUAUUGGGUGAGGUAAUGGCUCACCUAGGCGACGAUCCCUGGCUGGUCUGAGAGGAUGACCAGCCACACUGGAACUGAGACACGGUCCAGACUCCUACGGGAGGCAGCAGUGGGGAAUAUUGCACAAUGGGCGCAAGCCUGAUGCAGCCAUGCCGCGUGUAUGAAGAAGGCCUUCGGGUUGUAAAGUACUUUCAGCGAGGAGGCGUUACUCGCAGAAGAAGCACCGGCUAACUACGUGCCAGCAGCCGCGGUAAUAC